AGCUUUGCUCACAGGCACAUCAUAUCCCAUAACACCUGUGCACUUGUCGGAUGGCUUAGUGAAGACCGCAAGGUUGAAUCUAUCCAUCUACUUUACAUAACAAUUCUGUAACAAAUGUAGUCUUAUUAUAACAUAAUAAAACUUUCAACAACGGAUCUCUUGGCUCUCGCAUCGAUGAAGAACGCAGCGAAAUGCGAUAAGUAAUGUGAAUUGCAGAAUUCAGUGAAUCAUCGAAUCUUUGAACGCACCUUGCGCUCCUUGGUAUUCCGAGGAGCAUGCCUGUUUGAGUGUCAUGAAAACCCUCAACCCUAGAUUGGUUAAAACCUUUCUUUGGUUUGGAUUUGGACGUUUGCCGAUGAUAAGUCGGCUCGUCUUAAAAGUAAUAGCUGGAUCUGUCUCGCGACAUGGUUUGACUUGGCGUAAUAAGUAUUUCGCUAAGGACAUCUUCGGAUGGCCGCGUUGCAGGACUAAAGACCGCUUUCUAAUCCAUUGAUCUUCGGAUUAAUACUCUUGACAUCUGGCCUCAAAUCAGGUAGGACUACCCGCUGAACUUAAGCAUAUCAU
Molecule: ribosomal RNA, 564 nt
Filed under: Naganishia albida
Lineage: Eukaryota; Fungi; Basidiomycota; Tremellomycetes; Filobasidiales; Filobasidiaceae
Description: eukaryotic LSU rRNA
Rfam family: 5.8S ribosomal RNA (bases 140-293)
Source: RNAcentral